GACGAACGCUGGCGGCGUGCUUAACACAUGCAAGUCGAACGCUGAAGCCCUGGCUUUUGUUGGGUUGGAUGAGUGGCGAACGGGUGAGUAACACGUGAGUAACCUGCCCUCUUCUUUGGGAUAACGCCCGGAAACGGGUGCUAAUACUGGAUAUUCACUGAUCUUCGCAUGGGGGAUGGUGGAAAGGUUUGUUCUGGUGGGGGAUGGGCUCGCGGCCUAUCAGCUUGUUGGUGGGGUGAUGGCCUACCAAGGCUUUGACGGGUAGCCGGCCUGAGAGGGUGACCGGUCACAUUGGGACUGAGAUACGGCCCAGACUCCUACGGGAGGCAGCAGUGGGGAAUAUUGCACAAUGGGCGAAAGCCUGAUGCAGCGACGCCGCGUGAGGGAUGGAGGCCUUCGGGUUGUAAACCUCUUUCGCUCAUGGUCAAGCCGCAACUGUGGGUUGUGGUGAGGGUAGUGGGUAAAGAAGCGCCGGCUAACUACGUG
This 486-nucleotide ribosomal RNA is filed under the name uncultured bacterium. RNAcentral describes it as "partial 16S ribosomal RNA". It matches the Rfam family "Bacterial small subunit ribosomal RNA", at positions 28 to 507 of the family's 1533-position model. The record is from RNAcentral.